RNAcentral lists this transfer RNA (69 nucleotides) under Athyma cama (orange staff sergeant). RNAcentral describes it as "tRNA-Ala". The record is from RNAcentral. Lineage: Eukaryota; Metazoa; Arthropoda; Insecta; Lepidoptera; Nymphalidae.
AGGAUUAUAGUUUAAUUAAUAAAACAUUUGAUUUGCACUCAAAUAAUAUUGAAUUUUUCAAUUUAUCUU